This 479-nucleotide ribosomal RNA is filed under the name uncultured bacterium. RNAcentral's name for it is "partial 16S ribosomal RNA". It matches the Rfam family "Bacterial small subunit ribosomal RNA", at positions 28 to 507 of the family's 1533-position model. The record is from RNAcentral.
GAUGAACGCUAGCGGGAGGCCUAACACAUGCAAGCCGAGCGGGAGAGAUUCUUCGGAAUCUUGAGAGCGGCGUACGGGUGCGGAACACGUGUGCAACCUGCCUUUAUCAGGGGGAUAGCCUUUCGAAAGGAAGAUUAAUACCCCAUAAUAUAUUUUAUGGCAUCAUUAGAUAGCGAAAGCUUUGGCGGAUAGAGAUGGGCACGCGCGAGUUUGGAUUGUUCGUGAGGUAACGGCUCACCAAGGCGAUGAUCUGAAGGGGGCCUGAGCGGUUGAUCCCCCGCACUGGUACUGGGACACGGACCCGACUCCUGCGAGACGCAGCAGUGAGGAAUAUUGGGCAGUGGGUUAGCGCCUGAUCCAGCCAUCCCGCGUGAAGGACGACGGCCCUAUGGGUUGUAAGCUUCUUUUGUACAGGGAUAACCCUACUCUCGUGAGAGUAGCUGACGGUACUGUACGAAUAAGCACCGGCUAACUCCGUG